GCCUAACACAUGCAAGUCGAACGAGAGAUGAGGAGCUUGCUCUUCAAAUCGAGUGGCGAACGGGUGAGUAACGCGUGAGGAACCUGCCUCAAAGAGGGGGACAACAGUUGGAAACGACUGCUAAUACCGCAUAAGCCCACGGCUCGGCAUCGAGCAGAGGGAAAAGGAGCAAUCCGCUUUGAGAUGGCCUCGCGUCCGAUUAGCUAGUUGGUGAGGUAACGGCCCACCAAGGCGACGAUCGGUAGCCGGACUGAGAGGUUGAACGGCCACAUUGGGACUGAGACACGGCCCAGACUCCUACGGGAGGCAGCAGUGGGGAAUAUUGCACAAUGGGGGAAACCCUGAUGCAGCGACGCCGCGUGGAGGAAGAAGGUCUUCGGAUUGUAAACUCCUGUUGUUGAGGAAGAUAAUGACGGUACUCAACAAGGAAGUGACGGCUAACUACGUGCCAGCAGCCGCGGUAAAACGUAGGUCACAAGCGUUGUCCGGAAUUACUGGGCGUAAAGGGAGCGCAGGCGGGAGAACAAGUUGGAAGUGAAAUCCAUGGGCUCAACCCAUGAACUGCUUUCAAAACUGUUUUUCUUGAGUAGUGCAGAGGUAGGCGGAAUUCCCGGUGUAGCGGUGGAAUGCGUAGAUAUCGGGAGGAACACCAGUGGCGAAGGCGGCCUACUGGGCACCAACUGACGCUGAGGCUCGAAAGUGUGGGUAGCAAACAGGAUUAGAUACCCUGGUAGUCCACACCGUAAACGAUGAUUACUAGGUGUUGGAGGAUUGACCCCUUCAGUGCCGCAGUUAACACAAUAAGUAAUCCACCUGGGGAGUACGACCGCAAGGUUGAAACUCAAAUGAACUGACGGAA
RNAcentral lists this ribosomal RNA (859 nucleotides) under uncultured bacterium. RNAcentral describes it as "bacterial SSU rRNA". It matches the Rfam family "Bacterial small subunit ribosomal RNA", at positions 46 to 918 of the family's 1533-position model. The record is from RNAcentral.